GUGGGGAAUCUUCCGCAAUGGACGAAAGUCUGACGGAGCAACGCCGCGUGAGUGAUGAAGGUUUUCGGAUCGUAAAACUCUGUUGUUAAGGACGAAUGUAUAGAUUGUGAAUAAUGGUUUAUAAUGACGGUACUUAACGAGGAAGCCACGGCUAACUACGUGCCAGCAGCCGCGGUAAUACGUAGGUGGCAAGCGUUGUCCGGAAUUAUUGGGCGUAAAGGGAGCGCAGGUGGGAAUGUAAGUCAAUCUUAAAAGUGCGGGGCUCAACCCCGUGAUGGGAUAGAAACUACAUUUCUUGAGUGCAGGAGAGGAAAGUGGAAUUCCUAGUGUAGCGGUGAAAUGCGUAGAUAUUAGGAGGAACACCAGUGGCGAAGGCGACUUUCUGGACUGUUACUGACACUGAGGCUCGAAAGCUAGGGGAGCGAACGGGAUUAGAAACCCGAGUAGUCC
Molecule: ribosomal RNA, 450 nt
Filed under: uncultured bacterium
Lineage: Bacteria
Description: bacterial SSU rRNA
Rfam family: Bacterial small subunit ribosomal RNA
Source: RNAcentral